RNAcentral lists this ribosomal RNA (253 nucleotides) under uncultured bacterium. Its description in RNAcentral is "partial 16S ribosomal RNA". It matches the Rfam family "Bacterial small subunit ribosomal RNA", at positions 524 to 776 of the family's 1533-position model. The record is from RNAcentral.
UACGGGGGGUGCAAGCGUUAUCCGGAUUCACUGGGUUUAAAGGGUGCGUAGGCGGGCAGGUAAGUCUUGUGUGAAAUCCCUCGGCUUAACUGAGGAACUGCACGGGAUACUGCGAGACUUGAGUUCGGGAGAGGGAAGCGGAAUUCCGGGUGUAGCGGUGAAAUGCGUAGAUAUCCGGAGGAACACCGGUGGCGAAGGCGGCUUCCUGGACCGACACUGACGCUGAGGCGCGAAAGCUAGGGGAGCAAACGGG